Molecule: long non-coding RNA, 2636 nt
Organism: Dromaius novaehollandiae (emu)
Lineage: Eukaryota; Metazoa; Chordata; Aves; Casuariiformes; Dromaiidae
Exons: 4
Source: RefSeq, a predicted model, not a curated record
CCGCGGAUGCCGAAAGGUCGAGGCCCCGGCGGGGAAAGGGAGCCCCGCUCUGGCGGCCUUGGGGGCUGGAGCCAAGCGCCACCUCAGAACAGACACAGCAUAAACUGAUUUUCCUCCGUGUUUGUGCUACAUGGGUAUUUCAGUGAUUCCCGCUCAAAGUGGUGCGGCCGAGGGGAGCGUUGAGUGACUUAGGCCUGAGGAAAGUCAGGCAGUAUUUCGUGCCUGACCGCAGGCGAUCAGCGCUGCCUGGCCCCCCCAGUCCCGCGGGGCUUCGGUGGCGCUCCGCCGGGGCGCAGGUCCCCGCGGCCCUGUCUGGGGGCGGACGUCCCUCACCCUCCGGCGCCUCUCGGCUGGCACCUCGCUCUUGCGGUUGGGUGACUGGAUGGAGCCCGUCUCGUCAGCAUUUCGCAUAGGCAGAAGUUACAGAUAGAUGGAGAUUUACACGUGUAUAUGCAGCUAUGCUUUGCUUUUUAAAAGACAUUGGGAGAUCCAGCUUCUUAGUUAACUUUUCUAAAAAAAGAAAAUCAUUUAUUUUCAGCUGGACUGCUUGGACCACUGAAUCUUCACAUGGGUACGUGCUGGCAGGAUCAGGCCACGGACAUCUGUGGGAGAUACCGGUAGGAUGUUAUUGAGACAGUGUGGACUAUCCCUGCAACAUCACUCAAGUAAGAACUGAAAAGGAGAUAGUCUGUACUGUAAGGAAUAUAUUUGAAAGGAGGAUGAAGGUGAAGUGUUGGUUACACUAAUUCCAGGAGAACACUAUUCUUUCUCCUCCUGGAUCCAAGGAAGAAGAGUUAUCCAUAACUUGAGCCUCUAAUGAAUGCACUGCAUAGCCCUCUCAUAGCCUGCACUACCACACUCAACUGGAACAGUCUGACGUGCUCAGCUAUGUGUGAUGACAGUAUGAAUGCCAGCCUUCCGUGCGGUCUGCUGAUUACAGAGUUUAGAAGUCCAAUCAUUAAUAAAUAAGCACGAAUAUAUUAUUUUCUUCUUAUAAAAGAAGGGGAAAAAAAGGGGAGAAAUGCAAUAUAUUACUUGUUCAAAGUAUAUGCUAUUAAAUUUGACUUCUAAGUUUCCAUAAUAAUUCUGGAAAUUGUUUGUCCCCCACUAUACUUUUCUUACAUAUACUGAAUUUGCUUCAUAUAGCCUUCUGAGUUGGAAAAAGAAUACCCACUAAAUUAAGUGAGAUAUUGAAGGGGAAAAUACAUCAUUUCUUUUGUCUACCAGGAGAUGUCAGUGUUCACUUCUGCCCAAAGAAAGUAAUAGAAGGUUACACAAAGCUGCAAAUUUUCUUAGUAAAAGAAGAUAAUACAUGUCACAUUAUUCAGUAAAUAAAAACAUUCAAUUUCACUGCAGGAAAAUAAUUGUAUUCCCAUAGGGUUUAUUGCUUCCAUUUUAAGAGAUAAAGAAUUUGGAAAGUUCAUUAGUCAAAUGUUGUGUAUGCAGAGUAUUUACAUUUGUCUCAUAAGCAGAACUCAAUUUUUCAAUUUCUGCUUGCCAAAAUUCCCAUUGGGAAAGCUCUGGGAUACAAUAAUUAGGAACUCUACUGAGUUUUUGUUUUAGUUUUUACUGGCAGGUAAAGUAGACAUCAGUAAGGUAGCUGAAAAAAUAUAAAAUACCAAGUUAUUCUAUUCCAUGAACUUCCUGUAGCACUAGGGAUCCAUUAUAACAAAUGGUAUACAACCAGCACAGCAAAGAUCAAUACGUUUAAUUGUAGUCAAGAAUAUAAAGAUCCUAUAUUAUCAAUUUGUUGGGAAAUAUAUAAAUCUUAAUGUAAUUUUCCUACUUACAAAUUUUGACAAAUCAGAUAGGCAGAGAGAUAUUAAUUAAAGUAUUUGUAACAAGUGGAUCUGUAGGAUCUGAUUCAGCAAAAUGUGUAAGUUCAUGUCUACUCAGGUCCAGGCUUAAGAAUGAUAAAAAUCUACUGGGUCCAACUUAGCAGGAUCAAACUUUCCUGUACUGAGCAGUAGCUCUGCAAUAAACAUACAGUACACAGUGUCUUUCUGCUUGAAGUGUUCCAGAGGACUUUACCAGUGAUGCCAAAACAUCAGUCCAUGUCUGAAAGACAGUUACUUCAGAAACCAUGCAAGUGCAGACGCCUUGCUGAUUAGUGGAAUCAAGCAUCUCUUAUUUAGGUGGUAUUACUGCAUUGGCAAAAUGAAUUGAAUUCAAUUACCUAGAAUACCAUAUUCUUAAAUGAGAGAAUAAAUGAUCUUUCAUCAGUAGCUGAUCUUGGCACUUGCUUUUAUAUACAUUUCAAGUCAAAGGCAAUACUUGUGGAGGCACAGAACUACUUAAAACCAUGUCAGGGAACUGGCUUACUGUCAACUUGGAGGGAAGAGUCAUUCUCACUGACAUUCAUCACAUUUUCCCAAUUCCCUCCUAAGAGAAUGCCAUGCAAGUGCUGAUAUGGCACGGUUGGCUUGGAGCUAUCAGAUGGGUCAGCAUCACUUGGCAAAUGGUGUUGUGUUACAACUGUGACUGCUGUGAGCCUUUACGCUUAUGAGGUAAUCAAAGUGAAUCCCUUAUGGAUCUCUAUUCACUACCUCUACAUUCAUUACAUUAAUGAGCAAACCUGAAAUGACAGAAAGAAGAGGAGCUAGGGUAGGAUGAGUGGAUUGGGGAAGUUGUAUACC